This is a non-coding RNA of Ixodes scapularis (black-legged tick), 82 nucleotides long. The record is from Rfam. NCBI's taxonomy places the organism in Eukaryota, Metazoa, Arthropoda, Arachnida, Ixodida, Ixodidae.
GCAGUCGUGACCGAGUGGCUAAGGCGAUGAACUAAAAAUCCAUUGGGGUCUCCCCGCACAGGUUCAAAUCCUGUUGACUGCG